RNAcentral lists this ribosomal RNA (497 nucleotides) under uncultured bacterium. RNAcentral's name for it is "partial 16S ribosomal RNA". It matches the Rfam family "Bacterial small subunit ribosomal RNA", at positions 28 to 507 of the family's 1533-position model. The record is from RNAcentral.
GACUAACGCUGGCGGCGUGCCUAAUACAUGCAAGUUGAGCGCUGAAGGUUGGUACUUGUACCAACUGGAUGAGCAGCGAACGGGUGAGUAACGCGUGGGGAAUCUGCCUUUGAGCGGGGGACAACAUUUGGAAACGAAUGCUAAUACCGCAUAAAAACUUUAAACACAAGUUUUAAGUUUGAAAGAUGCAAUUGCAUCACUCAAAGAUGAUCCCGCGUUGUAUUAGCUAGUUGGUGAGGUAAAGGCUCACCAAGGCGAUGAUACAUAGCCGACCUGAGAGGGUGAUCGGCCACAUUGGGACUGAGACACGGCCCAAACUCCUACGGGAGGCAGCAGUAGGGAAUCUUCGGCAAUGGACGAAAGUCUGACCGAGCAACGCCGCGUGAGUGAAGAAGGUUUUCGGAUCGUAAAACUCUGUUGGUAGAGAAGAACGUUGGUGAGAGUGGAAAGCUCAUCAAGUGACGGUAACUACCCAGAAAGGGACGGCUAACUACGUG